CACGCCUAACCCACGCACACACACAUGUUGGAUCCCAUCUCUCUCGUCUUCCUCGAUCCCCUUUCUCCAUCCGACGCCGCUGCCAGAUUCCGGCGAUCCCCGCCGUUCCCCACCGCCUAGCUCUCCUCCCCGAGGUCACCUCUCCCCGCUCACCAUCUCCACCGACCGGUUUCUCUCCUCGCCCAGGAGAGCCACGCCCAGGCACUAGUGGUGGGGCACCGCGAGGAGGCCCCAGCGGCGUCGAGCUGCUGUUGCUACGGGCACAGCGAUGUCGGCGUGGUCAGGAUGGUCGCAGCCCUUCAAGAUUCUCAACGGCGUCGUCUCGGCGCUGAUGGCGGAGUCGACGGCGAGCAUCGGCGGGUACAUGGCGUCGGGGUACCGGAGGGUGGCCGGCGUGCAGCUCUCCAUCAACCAUCUCAAGCUCACCCGCCUCGGCGACCGCAUCGAGGCCAAGGCGAACCCCAUCCGGUACCUCGACCCCGACGCGUCCUUGGACAAGGACCAGCUGCUGGACGCGGUGCAUUGGAUCCGGUAGGCGGUGGGGCUCGCCUGCGGCCUGCUCUGGGGCGCCGUCCUCCUCGUCGGCGCCUUCUGGAUCGCCCUGUCAGUCCUUCCCUCCCUCCAUCCUCAAAGCCCCAACCUUCUUCUUUCCCUUCAGACAUAGGCAUAGAUUCAGGUUCAUUGUUAACUGAAUUCGUAAGCUCAUCUCACACUGAAUUUGGGACCUCUUUCCCAUCGUGUAGUAUAGUACUAGCAAGUCGGUCACACAUGAAUUAGUAGAUGAGUCUAGCGAUUCUGUUAACUGCAUUAUUUCAGAAACCCGCUUUGUUUUGCCUUUCAUUGAUCUCCGUGACAGGUCAGAGGAGGUGAAGUGAGUGUUAGAUUCGGUGCGAAUUGGAGGUUCGUUAGCCUCGUCUCUGAGCACUCGUCACCAGCUCGGCAACAAGCAUCGCAGUGGUUAUGCACUUUAUCUGGUAUUAGAUGUGACAUGAGGUGUUCAAUCAGCUCUUUGUUUGGCGUGGCCGUCAGCAAACCAAUGCAAUUGCCGCAUAUAUGUAGUGGGAUAUGAACUGCUCUUAGUUUCUCUGUGCUCAUUAUUAGUUCAAUAAAUUGGCAAAUGGCUGCUGAUGUAUGAUUGGCUGGCUUUGUUCAUCUUGCUAGAGUUACUUGGAAAUAUUGACAUUCUCAAACCAAAUAUGAGGUGCCCUUUAUUCCGUCCAUGGGAGUAUAUGUAAGUUGACUGCUUCAAACCCAAUCCGUGCUUGCUGUUUAGUGAAUAAAUAUGCUGGUAGAAUAUUGCAACUUCUUAACAUGAAUAAAUAUUUGAUGGUAAGUUGUGAUGAAGAUUAAAAUUGUAUUCCCCCGUAGAAAAGAAGAUUAACAUUUUAUUACAUACACUAAUCUAUCUAGCACCAAUGUCACGCAGUCAAUUUCCUUUAUCCUUAGCAUUUUUAUGACAUACCAUCUUCUAUUUAGAAUCUUUGGUUGCAAUCAGUUCUUUUUUCCACAAAAAUGAAAUCAGUUUCUUUUACUUUUAGCAUAUGUACUUAACAACUAAGGUGCCAGGUGCCAGUGAAAAAGUAAAUUUAUUUUUAUUUAGUAUUUGGUGGAUCCUCUGUUUUUAUAGGUUUCGACAUUGCUGCCUCCAUAUAGCUUUUUGCUGAUAUACGUUGACGGUUUGAUGUGUCGCUCCUAGUCCGAAUGUUAGUUUUUUUACUGGACCUUCCUUUUUGACUGGACAUUGUUUAUAUAUGUGACUGAUUCGUAAUCCAGCUGAACUUUCUUUUCAUGUACAUGAUGGAGUAUACAUCCAUAUAUUAUUGUACGUGUCGGAUGAUAGACUUGUGCAUUUAAUUAUGAUGCAUGUCUUCGAAUAUACUCCCAUUAUGCAUGUUUUUAGACUUUUUUUAAUAUUAUUGCUGUUAUUACGUGCGUAGUGCCGUGGGGAUGAAAUAACAUGCUCGUGUACUAAUUGACUAUACGCUAGCCUGGCUUGCCAUUGGAAGGUGGCGUAUGGACUAUGGACUCCUUUUUCUUAAGCUGGCCAUGUGAUUCCUUUUGCCUAUAAGCUGGCCGUGCCGUUGGCCGUGUGGACUUUGUAUGCCUUUACGCCGCCAUCAAGUUGAGGUCAACGAAUCACUGCCGUUCAUUUAUCAUAACUUUGUAAUUUUGAAUCUCCUCCUUUUGUUUUCUAUCGUUUUAAUAAUAUUGAAUCUCCUCCAUUCGUUUUCUAUCUUUUUAACAAUAUAAUAGAUUUGAUUUUGGUAGUACCGUUGAAUUUGGUUGCUGCUAUUCAUUUAUGUAUGUGAAGGAAUUGGAUAAUGUGCUCUUUUUUUGUUUGCAAAAUGAAGGACCCUGCAUCCAGGUAGUGGGAAUAGUUAGUCCUUGCUAUCAAUAGUAGUAGCAUUAUUCACUGUGGAGUGUGAGGGAAUUUGAUGAUCAUCUACCUUUGCCUAUCAUCUACUUCUGAUGUUUUCCCUGAAAGUGACACGUGAUCUUCCUUUGUUUUUCUUUAGCUGAUAGUAUGAUAACUGCUUGCUUGGCAGAAGUUAUGGUUGUGAUGUUUCUUAAGUAAAUAAAGAAACUGAGAUUUAGUUCGACUUGGAGCGCCUCUUGUUAUACCACGGUUCCUUCUCUUAGAGCUGUACUUGUACUGCAGGUUUUGGAUUGGGAGGGGAAAAUGCUCUUCUUUCAGUCUCUGUUGAAGUCAAACCCAUCCAUGCAAAAUCUGUACUUAGUAGAAUUAAUGUAGAUGAAUAUAUAUGCCUUGCAGUUUUAUCGUGCAUGCCAUUCAACUAACUUGCUCUUGUCCAUGCAGAUGGAGUAGGAGGACGAGCAACAGCAGCAAAUCAGUCUAAUGAUGACGGGGUGCGGGAGGCAAUGGUGAUCAUGCUGAUGGCAUGAAGAAGGCUGAUGACCACAACCUGGACCAGUUGGCAUUUAGAGAUGGCAAACACAGGCGGCGUGGAGACAGUAACCUGGACCACCCACCUCCCUUGCCUUUUUAAUUUUGGUUGUGGUGGUUGCAUCACCGGCGCGGUCGCAAAUCAGUAUGUAGUGUGCUUGUGGAGUUGGUUCUGGACUGCAGUGUCCAUCCAUUGGUCGCUGUCGGGGCACAGAGCUCACGGGCUGGCGGGGUGCGAUGGUGACGUCAGCGAUGGAGGCGUCGUCGCCGCCGUUCGCCGGCGGCGUGGAGACGCCGGCAUCUGCUCAUCUGCCCGUUCGGUGUCUUCCCUCCUGAUUACUGUGGGCACGUCCGCCUCUGCUUUCCUUUCCUCCCUCUCCUCUCCUCUGCUUUGCUCCGAGCUCGUCGCCCCGCUGUUUGCAGCUCGAAUCGUGACCAUUUUGUGUGAUGCAACAAAUGGAGAAAGGGUUGAUAGUCCUUUUUUUACACUGGAACUUGAGCAUGGUGGAAUUUUCUGUGGCCCAAUCAGUAACCUGGAGUACUGGAAUCCUUCUGUUGAGGUGCUAGACUAUGUUGACUCUGGCACUUUCUCAUAUGCAUUCUUUGAACAACACUUGCUUUGGUUGGGAUAUCUUGUGAGUGAGCACAUCAUUUACUGGUGCAAACCAAAUAAACCAAUCUCAGAUGGUUUGAUCAAAAUUAGCAGUGAUGAGGAUGUGCACCAUAUGAUCAGAGCUUGUGCUGAGCAUAAGAUGCUUGUAGUCAUGGUUGAGCAUAUAGAUUUCAUCAAUAAUUUCAGGUCCGACUUGGUGUGCAGAUUGCCCUUGUCUUUGAUAACAGCAACAUCAACUUUGGAAGUAGCAAGUGCAUCCUCUUCCCAUAGCCUAAUUUCAGUAUUUGUGGAAGAUCCCUUGUCAGAUAUUGCAGCAAAUGGAACAGACCCACAGAGUUUGCUGAUUGAGGGUGCUGAGCACAACAUGCUAACUGAAGAUGGACAAACAGUUAUUGAAGAUGUAGUUGUUUUAGAUUCUGAUUUCAGUGACAGUGACUAUGACAUAGAUGAUGGUGAUGAUGAUCUUUAUGAUGACAACAUUGACUUUGAUGUUGAUGAAGAAGGUGAGCAGGAGGAGGAAGAUGUGGAGCCUGACUAUUUGCUUGAGGAUGAAGAUCUAAACCUAUCAACUGAGCAAGCAGAUGAACUUAGGAUGGUAUUUGCUGAUGUGGUUGAGCUAAUACAUGCACUGACUGCAUAUUCAGUUAGAAACAGAGUGCAGAUCAAGAAGAUAAAGAAUGACAAGAGGAGACUUGAGGCAGUUUGUGAAAAUGGUUGCGCAUGGUACCUGUUUGCUGGAAAUGACAAUAGGACAGGAGGAUUUGUCAUAAAGACUUACUAUGGAGAACAUAUAUGUCAGAAGAAAUGGAAGUUAAGGUCACUGACAGCAAAAUUCCUGUGCAAGUAUUUCAUGGAUGAGUUCAGAGAUGACCAGAAGAUGUCACUAGAUCCGAAGCAUUGGGAGAAACAGAAUGCUUACAAAGUAUAUCCACCAGUUUUCACUAAACAGUUGGGAAGGCCAAAGAAAAACAGGAAGAAAACUCCAGAAGAGAAGAAGAACAAGAAUGGUGUUAGAUAUUUGGACAAAAAAGGUGUGACAAUGCACUACUCAAUUUGUGGCAGAGCUGACCACAACAGGAAGGGGCACUGCAGAUGUCAGGAAGCACUAAUUGAAGAAGGAGUAGAGCUGGUUGAUGAGAACUAUGAUGACCCAACAUUUCUUCAGAACAUAUUUCCAAACAGGCCAGAUCCUAGGUUGGAUCCUAGUGAGUCACCGACCAGUAUGGUUUUCAACAUGGCCAACAGGGAAAGAGCAAGAAGAGCUCCUCAAAGGGUCCAUGGCCCACUGCCUGAGCUGUCUUCAUUUGUUGCUACUGCUGGGGCUGAAAUACCACAACCCAGGGUUACUACAGAAAUGAAUGUUGCUAGGCAGACAAGGGCAAGAACUGAAGCUGACAUGGGAAGAGGAAAGAAAAGGAGAGGCAGGGGAGAGGGAAAUCCAAGUGCAAGAAGAGGAAGGGGAGCAAGUGCAGUCUCAGGUCUAGGAAGAGGUGCCAGUGCAGAUGCAGUGUCAGGAGAGGGAGCAAGUGCAGGUGCUGGGAGAGGGAGAGGAGCAAGUGCAGGUGCUGGGAGAGGGAGAGGGAGAGGAGCAAAUGCAGGUGCUGGGAGAGGGAGAGGAGCAAAUCCAGAAGCUGGGAGAGGGAGAGGAGCAAAUCCAGAAGCUGGGAGAGGGAGAGGAGCAAAUCUAGGAGGUGGGAGAGGGAGAGGAGGCAGUAAUGUGCAUGCAUGGAGAGGAGAAAAUUCAGAUGCAGGGAGAGGAAGAGGAGGCCAAGCAGGUGAGAGGGCAUGGUGGCUGAUGUUUGGAGAUGACAUUGCCAGUCAUAUUCCUCACCUUAAUGCUCCUCCUGAUGAUUUUCCUGCUGCCUGA
RNAcentral lists this ribosomal RNA (5385 nucleotides) under Triticum aestivum (bread wheat). RNAcentral describes it as "partial small subunit ribosomal RNA". The record is from RNAcentral. Lineage: Eukaryota; Viridiplantae; Streptophyta; Magnoliopsida; Poales; Poaceae.